RNAcentral lists this unclassified non-coding RNA (1612 nucleotides) under Octopus sinensis (East Asian common octopus). Its description in RNAcentral is "leucine-rich repeats and immunoglobulin-like domains protein 3, transcript variant X6". Lineage: Eukaryota; Metazoa; Mollusca; Cephalopoda; Octopoda; Octopodidae. The record is from RNAcentral.
CGGUAGUUGGCUGACAUAUACACACCCUCUGUGACAUACAAAUAUGUACAUAGACACUACAUUGUACAUGCACACGACUACAUACACACUACGACAUAUAGAUAUACAUGAUAUCAAACACGAACACAUACACACACACAUAAACACACGCAUUCUUAUAUGAGGAGAUGACGUUGAAUAUUUUUAAAUUGCAGUUGCUCUUAAAGUUAACGGUGCUGACCAAGCGUUCCUGUGACAAAUACAUUAAACUAAAACUAAAACUCAACGAUCAACUUUGCUGAUAAAUCUACGCCUGGCAAUAUGUUUCACCACGUAGUAUCAUAUAGACGGUCUCUUGUGUUGAUACUGUGUACGAUAUUGUUUUUGGAGACUCAAGCUGAUUCAGAUAUAUGCAAGAUAUGUACUUGCAAUUCACUUACAACGAGAAUAAAUUGUGCACGUCGCAAUUUACUAUCAAUUCCACAACCAAUUCCGACGAAUGUUGAAUAUUUAGAACUGUGGAACAACAACAUUGCAACCAUCAAAGAAGGAGCAUUCACGGGGCUUUCACAUUUAAAAGAAUUAGAUCUGUACGAGAACAACAUUUCAACCAUCAAAGAAGGUACAUUCACGGGGCUUUCAAAUUUAAAAGAAUUAUCUCUUGACAGCAAUAAAAUUUCAAGGAUUGAAAAGGAGAUGUUUCAAGGCCUUCACAACUUAGAGAAAUUAGAUCUGAGAUGGAACAACAUUUCAACCAUCAAAGAAGGUUUAUUCACGGGCCUUUCGAAUUUAAAGACAUUAGGUCUUCGCAACAAUAAGAUUUCAAGGAUUGAAAAAGAGAUGUUUCAAGGCCUUCACAACUUAGAGAAAUUAUCUCUUUCCUUCAAUAAAAUUUCAAGGAUUGAAAAAGAGAUGUUUCAAGGCCUUCACAACUUAGAGAUAUUUUACCUCGAAAACAAUAACCUUAUGAAGUGUGGAUGUCACUUGCCAGCCUUCGUUAAGUAUAUUAAAAAAGUCUAUAACAGAACUGUUGCUGUCUCUGGCACGUGUCAGGAAGGCUCAGGGAAACGAAUACCUAUACUGGAUUAUUCGCAAUGUCAAAAUUACUCGUUAUUUCAACGGAAUUUACAGUGUCAAACAUGUUCAGGAAUCAUAUGCAAUGAAUGAAGUGACAAGCUGUCCAGGAACAGAGCCUGUAUGCCGAUUCGCAAUAUCAAUGAACGGUGCUAAACUGAAGACUGAAAGGUCCUGCAGCACAUACAGAAAAUGUGUUGAAGCUAUGAGAAACAAUACCCUUACAUGCAAUAAACGGACGAAUGGCACGUCUUGUACUGGUUGUUGCGUCGGACACUUGUGUAACAGAAUGAUUUCAUUGGCUGGACCAAAUCCCUCGUAUUUCGUUUGAUUUUAAAAAGUUCAACGAAUAUAAAAUCCCCGCUGAGAACAUAUCAAGAGCCAUGGAGCAUGACCUUUCAACCGUGACGGGAACAUUUAGAGUUGAAGACUGUGGCUCAAACAGAAAUAAAAUAUUUGCUAUUUACUGUACAGUAUUUAGCGAAAUGACUGAAAGUCAACUGCGGCGCAAUAUCUCCCAGUUUUGAACAAUUCCCAGGAAUUGCUUAACUUAGGAGUU